RNAcentral lists this ribosomal RNA (253 nucleotides) under uncultured bacterium. RNAcentral's name for it is "partial 16S ribosomal RNA". It matches the Rfam family "Bacterial small subunit ribosomal RNA", at positions 524 to 776 of the family's 1533-position model. The record is from RNAcentral.
UACAGAGGGUGCGAGCGUUAAUCGGAAUUACUGGGCGUAAAGCGUGCGUAGACGGUUAUUUAAGUCGGGUGUGAAAGCCCCGGGCUCAACCUGGGAAUUGCAUUCGAGACUGAAUAGCUAGGGUACGGUAGAGGGAAGUGGAAUUUCCGGUGUAGCGGUGAAAUGCGUAGAUAUCGGGAGGAACACCGGUGGCGAAGGCGGAUCUCUGGGCCUUACCUGACGCUGAGGAGCGAAAGCAUGGGGAGCAAACAGG